AGAGUUUGAUCCUGGCUCAGGAUGAACGCUGGCGGCGUGCCUAAUACAUGCAAGUCGAACAAGUACUUCGGUACUUAGUGGCGAACGGGUGAGUAAGACGUAAGCAACCUGCCUAUGGGAUGGGAUAACGUUUGGAAACGAACGCUAAUACCGGAUAGGUGAAGGAAGGGCAUCCCUCCUCAUUAAAGUUUAGAUACACCGAUAGAUGGGCUUACGGCGCAUUAGCUAGUUGGUGAGGUACGGCUCACCAAGGCGACGAUGCGUAGCCGGACUGAGAGGUUGAACGGCCACAUUGGGACUAGACACGGCCCAAACUCCUACGGGAGGCAGCAGUAGGGAAUUUUCGGCAAUGGGGGAAACCUGACCGAGCAACGCCGCGUGAGUGAAGAUGGCCUUCGGGUUGUAAAGCUCUGUUGUAAAGAAGAAUGUUACCGAUAGAAUCGGUAAGUGACGGUACUUUACCAGAAAGCCACGGCUAACACGUGCCAGCAGCCGCGGUAAUACGUAGGUGGCGAGCGUUAUCCGGAAUUAUUGGGCGUAAGGGUGCGUAGGCGGUCUGUUAAGUAUAAGGUGAAAGCGUGGAGCUCAACUCCAUACAGCUUAUAAACUGGCGGACUAAGAGUGCAGGAGAGGUUA
Molecule: ribosomal RNA, 636 nt
Filed under: uncultured Bacillota bacterium
Lineage: Bacteria; Bacillati; Bacillota
Description: bacterial SSU rRNA
Rfam family: Bacterial small subunit ribosomal RNA
Source: RNAcentral